AGGCUUUAGCAGAGGGAAGGGCCCCUGCAGAAGGGGACCAUGAAGAGGCCAGAAUUAUUCUAGGACAGAGAGAAAGCAGUUUUAGGAAGGAUCUGCAGUGGUUGCUGUUCAAUAAGUAUGUGCCUUCACUUAUUCAAGAUGGUCCACAAUGUGGUCUUGUGGCCUUAUGGAUGGCGACUCAUCUUCUGCAGCCUCCUAAGACAGUGGUGCUGGAGACACUGGUCCAGGUGGCAAAAGACAACGGCUACACUAAACAAGGAGAAA
This is a long non-coding RNA of Sinocyclocheilus grahami, 264 nucleotides long. RefSeq lists it as uncharacterized. The record is from RefSeq and is a predicted model, not a curated record. The transcript has 3 exons. NCBI's taxonomy places the organism in Eukaryota, Metazoa, Chordata, Actinopteri, Cypriniformes, Cyprinidae.